RNAcentral lists this ribosomal RNA (277 nucleotides) under Tetraselmis astigmatica. RNAcentral's name for it is "partial Bacterial large subunit ribosomal RNA". It matches the Rfam family "Bacterial large subunit ribosomal RNA", at positions 2142 to 2418 of the family's 2925-position model. Lineage: Eukaryota; Viridiplantae; Chlorophyta; Chlorodendrophyceae; Chlorodendrales; Chlorodendraceae. The record is from RNAcentral.
GAUAGGUAGGAGCCAUUGAAACGUGAGCGCUAGCUUACGUGGAGGCGUUGGUGGGAUACUACCCUAGCUGUGUUGGCUUUCUAACCCGCACCACUUAUCGUGGUGGGAGACAGUGUCAGGCGGGCAGUUUGACUGGGGCGGUCGCCUCCUAAAAGGUAACGGAGGCGCUCAAAGGUUCCCUCAGAAUGGUUGGAAAUCAUUCACAGAGUGUAAAGGCAUAAGGGAGCUUGACUGCGAGACCUACAAGUCGAGCAGGGUCGAAAGACGGACUUAGUGA